Molecule: ribosomal RNA, 92 nt
Filed under: Russula westii
Lineage: Eukaryota; Fungi; Basidiomycota; Agaricomycetes; Russulales; Russulaceae
Description: partial 25S ribosomal RNA
Source: RNAcentral
GCCCUGCUUCCAACUUGUCUUCUAACGAAGACCUCUUAUAAACCUUGACCUCAAAUCGGGUGAGACUACCCGCUGAACUUAAGCAUAUCAUA